ACGACGACAUCUCGUUGAAAAACCAGUUUUCGUACGAUCAAAGAAGUUAAGCAACGUCGAGCUUGGUCAGUACCUCGAAGAGUGACCUCCUGAGGAUACCAGGUGCUGUAA
Molecule: non-coding RNA, 111 nt
Organism: Acanthosepion pharaonis
Lineage: Eukaryota; Metazoa; Mollusca; Cephalopoda; Sepiida; Sepiidae
Source: the annotation of a GenBank genome assembly